RNAcentral lists this transfer RNA (73 nucleotides) under Butyrivibrio sp. Its description in RNAcentral is "tRNA-Glu". It matches the Rfam family "tRNA". Rfam says of the family: Transfer RNA (tRNA) molecules are approximately 80 nucleotides in length. Their secondary structure includes four short double-helical elements and three loops (D, anti-codon, and T loops). Lineage: Bacteria; Bacillati; Bacillota; Clostridia; Lachnospirales; Lachnospiraceae. RNAcentral also lists the same sequence under 1 other name. The record is from RNAcentral.
GGUCCGUUAGUCUAGUGGAUAGGACACGAGGUUUUCAUCCUCGGGAUAGCGGGUUCAACUCCCCUACGGAUCA